Molecule: ribosomal RNA, 463 nt
Filed under: uncultured bacterium
Lineage: Bacteria
Description: partial 16S ribosomal RNA
Rfam family: Bacterial small subunit ribosomal RNA
Source: RNAcentral
UGGGGAAUAUUGCACAAUGGGCGCAAGCCUGAUGCAGCCAUGCCGCGUGUGUGAAGAAGGCCUUCGGGUUGUAAAGCACUUUCAGCGAGGAGGAAGGUGGUGAACUUAAUACGUUCAUCAAUUGACGUUACUCGCAGAAGAAGCACCGGCUAACUCCGUGCCAGCAGCCGCGGUAAUACGGAGGGUGCAAGCGUUAAUCGGAAUUACUGGGCGUAAAGCGCACGCAGGCGGUUUGUUAAGUCAGAUGUGAAAUCCCCGGGGCUCAACCUGGGAACUGCAUUUGAAACUGGCAAGCUAGAGUCUCGUAGAGGGGGGUAGAAUUCCAGGUGUAGCGGUGAAAUGCGUAGAGAUCUGGAGGAAUACCGGUGGCGAAGGCGGCCCCCUGGACGAAGACUGACGCUCAGGUGCCGAAAAGGCGUGGGGGAGCAAAACAGGAUUAGAUACCCCUGGUAGUCCACGCUGU